This 243-nucleotide ribosomal RNA is filed under the name uncultured bacterium. Its description in RNAcentral is "partial 16S ribosomal RNA". It matches the Rfam family "Bacterial small subunit ribosomal RNA", at positions 528 to 771 of the family's 1533-position model. The record is from RNAcentral.
GAAGGCCCGAGCGUUAUCCGGAUUCAUUGGGCUUAAAGGGAGCGUAGGCGGGCUUUCAAGUCAGCUGUAAAAUCGCGCGGCUCAACCGCGCCCCGCAGUUGAAACUGGAGGCCUUGAGUGCAUGCGAGGCAGGCGGAAUUCGUGGUGUAGCGGUGAAAUGCAUAGAUAUCACGAGGAACCCCGGUUGCGAAGGCAGCCUGCCGGUGUGCCACUGACGCGGAGGCUCGAAGGGGCGGGGAUCAA